This is a long non-coding RNA of Gopherus evgoodei (Goodes thornscrub tortoise), 99 nucleotides long. RefSeq lists it as uncharacterized. The record is from RefSeq and is a predicted model, not a curated record. The transcript has 4 exons. NCBI's taxonomy places the organism in Eukaryota, Metazoa, Chordata, Testudines, Testudinidae.
GGGUUUCUACAGGGGGCGGGGGUUGGGGGGGUCUCCACCCACAAGAGAAAGUCUAUUUAAACCCCGAGGAGACCCCUCCAUUUCGUCUUCCACUGGCUG